This 465-nucleotide ribosomal RNA is filed under the name Vreelandella stevensii. RNAcentral describes it as "partial 16S ribosomal RNA". It matches the Rfam family "Bacterial small subunit ribosomal RNA", at positions 338 to 795 of the family's 1533-position model. The record is from RNAcentral. Lineage: Bacteria; Pseudomonadati; Pseudomonadota; Gammaproteobacteria; Oceanospirillales; Halomonadaceae.
CCUACGGGUGGCUGCAGUGGGGAAUAUUGGACAAUGGGUGGAACCCUGAUCCAGCCAUGCCGCGUGUGUGAAGAAGGCCCUCGGGUUGUAAAGCACUUUCAGUGAGGAAGAACGCCUGGUGGUUAAUACCCAUCAGGAAAGACAUCACUCACAGAAGAAGCACCGGCUAACUCCGUGCCAGCAGCCGCGGUAAUACGGAGGGUGCGAGCGUUAAUCGGAAUUACUGGGCGUAAAGCGCGCGUAGGUGGCUUGAUAAGCCGGUUGUGAAAGCCCCGGGCUCAACCUGGGAACGGCAUCCGGAACUGUCAAGCUAGAGUGCAGGAGAGGAAGGUAGAAUUCCCGGUGUAGCGGUGAAAUGCGUAGAGAUCGGGAGGAAUACCAGUGGCGAAGGCGGCCUUCUGGACUGACACUGACACUGAGGUGCGAAAGCGUGGGUAGCAAACAGGAUUAGAUACCCUUGUAGUC